CAGCGGAGCUUGCUCCGGCUGACGAGUGGCGGACGGGUGAGUAACGCGUAGGAAUCUACCCAGUAGCGGGGGAUAGCCCGGGGAAACCCGGAAUAAUACCGCAUACGCCCCACGGGGGAAAGAGGGCCUCUUCUUGAAAGCUCUCACUAUUGGAGGAGCCUGCGUUGGAUUAGCUAGUUGGUGGGGUAAAGGCCCACCAAGGCGACGAUCCUUAGCUGGUCUGAGAGGAUGAUCAGCCACACUGGAACUGAGACACGGUCCAGACUCCUACGGGAGGCAGCAGUGGGGAAUAUUGCGCAAUGGGCGAAAGCCUGACGCAGCCAUGCCGCGUGUGUGAAGAAGGCCUUAGGGUUGUAAAGCACUUUCAAUUGGGAAGAAAAGUUUGUCGUUAAUAGCGCCAAGCUCUGACAUUACCUUUAGAAGAAGCACCGGCUAACUCCGUGCCAGCAGCCGCGGUAAUACGGAGGGUGCGAGCGUUAAUCGGAAUUACUGGGCGUAAAGCGCGCGUAGGCGGUUUGUUAAGUCAGCUGUGAAAGCCCCGGGCUCAACCUG
RNAcentral lists this ribosomal RNA (552 nucleotides) under uncultured Gammaproteobacteria bacterium. RNAcentral describes it as "bacterial SSU rRNA". It matches the Rfam family "Bacterial small subunit ribosomal RNA", at positions 71 to 616 of the family's 1533-position model. Lineage: Bacteria; Pseudomonadati; Pseudomonadota; Gammaproteobacteria. The record is from RNAcentral.